UACGGGAGGCAGCAGUGGGGAAUAUUGCACAAUGGGCGCAAGCCUGAUGCAGCGACGCCGCGUGAGGGAUGAAGGCCUUCGGGUUGUAAACCUCUUUCAGUAGGGAAGAAGCGAAAGUGACGGUACCUGCAGAAGAAGCGCCGGCUAACUACGUGCCAGCAGCCGCGGUAAUACGUAGGGCGCAAGCGUUAUCCGGAAUUAUUGGGCGUAAAGAGCUCGUAGGCGGUUUGUCGCGUCUGCCGUGAAAGUCCGGGGCUUAACCCCGGAUCUGCGGUGGGUACGGGCAGACUUGAGUGAUGUAGGGGAGACUGGAAUUCCUGGUGUAGCGGUGAAAUGCGCAGAUAUCAGGAGGAACACCGAUGGCGAAGGCAGGUCUCUGGGCAUUAACUGACGCUGAGGAGCGAAAGCAUGGGGAGCGAACAGGAUUAGAUACCCUGGUAGUCCAUGCCGUAAACGUUGGGCACUAGGUAUGGGGGACAUUCCACGUUUUCCGCGCCGUAGCCAACGCAUUAAGUGCCCCGCCUGGGGAGUACGGCCGCAAGGCUAAAACUCAAAGGAAUUGACGGGGGCCCGCACAAGCGGCGGAGCAUGCGGAUUAAUUCGAUGCAACGCGAAGAACCUUAC
This 624-nucleotide ribosomal RNA is filed under the name uncultured Arthrobacter sp. RNAcentral describes it as "bacterial SSU rRNA". It matches the Rfam family "Bacterial small subunit ribosomal RNA", at positions 340 to 974 of the family's 1533-position model. Lineage: Bacteria; Bacillati; Actinomycetota; Actinomycetes; Micrococcales; Micrococcaceae. The record is from RNAcentral.